Molecule: ribosomal RNA, 1599 nt
Filed under: Triticum aestivum (bread wheat)
Lineage: Eukaryota; Viridiplantae; Streptophyta; Magnoliopsida; Poales; Poaceae
Description: partial small subunit ribosomal RNA
Source: RNAcentral
AUGUGGCGGCGGGCCGCGACGGCGGCGCUGGCGCUGGGCGCGGGCGUCGGCGCCCACGCCGUCGCCACCUCCGAGGACCCCGCCAGGACCCUCAAGAUCUGCCGGCACCUGCCCCCGCGCCUCCUCCGCGACUCCGUCGCCGCCGCCACCAUCGCCUUCGACUACCAGUACUCCCUCUGGGGCCUCCAGCCGGACUCCCCCGCCUGGCACAGCGCCAAGCACGACGCCCACCUCCGCUCCGCCAACCGCCUCCAGGAGCUCUGCUUCCGCAACGGCGGCAUCUACAUCAAGCUCGGCCAGCACAUCGCGCAGCUGGAGUAUGUCCUGCCGCAGGAGUACGUGCAGACGAUGAGGGAGUCGAUGCUGAAGAGGUGCCCCGUCUCCUCAUACGAGGACGUCCGCGGGGUCUUCAAGAAAGAGAUUGGAGAAUUGCCAGAAACUGUUUUUGCAGAAUUCGACCCUGUCCCAAUUGCAAGUGCUUCCCUUGCGCAAGUCCAUGCCGCCACAACACACGAUGGGAAAAAAGUUGCUGUUAAGGUUCAGCACGACCACUUGAUAGAUACUUCUGUAGUAGAUAUCGCCACUGUGGAUUUAGUAGUGAAUGCUCUUCAUUACGUUUUCCCUACAUUUGACUACAGGUGGUUAGUUGAUGAAAUUCGGGAAAGUGCGCCUAAGGAAUUAGAUUUUUUAUGUGAAGCUCAGAACAGUGAAAGAUGUCUGGUUAACUUCAGAAAGUUGUCUCCUCACAUUGCGAAUAGCAUAUACACCCCCAAGGUUUAUUGGAACCUCAGCACGUCAAGAAUUCUUACUAUGGAGUACAUUGAUGCCAAGGAGGUAACUGAUGUCAAAGGCAUUAAAGACCUCGGAAUUCGCCCUGUUGAUGUUUCAAACCUAGUGAAUAAAGCAUUUGCUGAAAUGAUUUUCAAGCAUGGUUUCGUUCAUUGUGAUCCCCACGCUGCCAAUAUGAUGAUCCGACCCUUGCCACAAGACAGUAAGAAAUGGUUUGUGUUAGGAUCGAAACGGCCACAACUGGUUCUUCUUGACCAUGGUCUUUACAAAGAACUUGAUCAUGCUACAAGGAUAAACUAUGCUUCACUUUGGAAGGCGCUUAUUCACGCCGAUGAGAAUGGAAUUAAGGAGUACAGUAUCAAACUAGGUGCUGGGGAGGAUCUUCAUGCACUUUUUGCUGGGGUUCUCACAAUGAGGCCAUGGAAAAGUGUCAUUGACCCAUCUUUUGGUCAUCUUGUGCUGGAUGGGAAUAAUACCGAUCGUUCUGAAAUGCAGAUGUAUGCUUCCUUGUAUUUCCCACAAAUCUCGGAGCUCCUCAGGAGACUACCAAGGGUAAUCUUGCUGAUGCUCAAGACAAAUGACUGUUUACGUGCAGUCAAUCAUGCCCUGGUUGGAGGGUCUACCCCGGAAUCAUUUGAGAUCAUUGCACGAGUAUCUUCUGAAGCUGUGUUUGAAGCUAAAAGGAUGGAGAAGAGGUUCUUUCUAUAUAGAUUUAUAAUAUGGCUGGAGGAGCUUCUGAAUGAACUUCACCUAUUUGGAAUGAAGCUGUGGUUGCAUUAUCAACAACCCAGGAGGAUACUGGCUGGGUAA